GGAAGCAAAAGUCGUAACAAGGUCUCCGUAGGUGAACCUGCGGAGGGAUCAUUACAGAGUUCAUGCCCUACCGGGUAGAUCUCCCACCCUAUGUUAUUAUUACUUUGUUGCUUUGGCGGGCCGUUAGGCUCCGGCCCGACUACCGGCCCCGGCUGGUAAGCGCCCGCCAGAGGACCCAAAACCCUGAAUAUUAGUGUCGUCUGAGUACUAUAUAAUAGUUAAAACUUUCAACAACGGAUCUCUUGGUUCUG
RNAcentral lists this unclassified non-coding RNA (251 nucleotides) under plant metagenome. RNAcentral's name for it is "partial contains small subunit ribosomal RNA, internal transcribed spacer 1, and 5.8S ribosomal RNA". The stretch from base 1 to 54 matches the Rfam family "Eukaryotic small subunit ribosomal RNA", at positions 1778 to 1831 of the family's 1831-position model. The record is from RNAcentral.